Lolium rigidum is the source of this 701-nucleotide long non-coding RNA. RefSeq lists it as uncharacterized. NCBI's taxonomy places the organism in Eukaryota, Viridiplantae, Streptophyta, Magnoliopsida, Poales, Poaceae. The record is from RefSeq and is a predicted model, not a curated record. The transcript has 2 exons.
AAUACUAAGAAAAUUUUCAGUUAUUCAUUGGUGUACAAAGUCAACCUAUGCAAUGUAUGUUUUGUGAAAAUACCAUCUUUUCUUAUCAGAAGUGUGCAUCGAUGGUUUUUCAUUGGCAAAAAUAUUUUAGAUACGAAACUAUGACCUUGGUGUAGGAAGUCAACUUAUAGAUAUAUGUUUGUGAAAAUACCAUCUUUUCUUAUUAUAAGUGUGCAUCGAUGGGUUUUUUAUCGGCAACAAUAUUUUAGAUACUAAACUAAAUGAUGUUACCUGAAUAAUUUUUUCAGGACCUUAUUCUGCAAGAUUAAACUGGGAAAUCUUCGGGGGUCAUCGCCGUGAUGGUGGUAUGUCACUCUUCCCACCAACAAGGGAUAUCGGACAAGGAGUUUUGCUUACUACACUUCUGAAACAUUUGCGUAAGGGCCGUGUUGGAGGCGGAGUGGAGCUAAAAACAAAGACGACCAUUGUUUCCAUCCGCAAGUGUAUCUAUGUCUUUCGAUUUCUAAUAGUAGACGAGGGGUGUUUGAUUGAAGGAGAUUAAUGAGAGAAAAUGUGACAGAUUGUAUACCGCAAUGAUAUUAGAAACCAUACUCAUGGUGCCAGAUGGGAGGGACAAAAGAAAUACAUUCACAUUGGUCCAAACUUAGCAUACAUUGUGCUCUAUGCAUUUGACGAAAUAUAGCAACUCAUAUGCACACAUA